RNAcentral lists this ribosomal RNA (429 nucleotides) under uncultured bacterium. RNAcentral's name for it is "bacterial SSU rRNA". It matches the Rfam family "Bacterial small subunit ribosomal RNA", at positions 355 to 776 of the family's 1533-position model. The record is from RNAcentral.
UGGGGAAUAUUGGACAAUGGGCGAAAGCCUGAUCCAGCAAUACCGCGUGAGUGAAGAAGGCCUUCGGGUUGUAAAGCUCUUUCGGCGGGGAAGAAAUCGCACUAGUUAAUACCUGGUGUGGAUGACGGUACCCGAAUAAGAGGCACCGGCUAACUACGUGCCAGCAGCCGCGGUAAUACGUAGGGUGCGAGCGUUAAUCGGAAUUACUGGGCGUAAAGCGUGCGCAGGCGGUUUUGUAAGUCAGAUGUGAAAUCCCCGGGCUCAACCUGGGAACUGCAUUUGAGACUGCAAGGCUAGAGUGUGGCAGAGGGGGGUGGAAUUCCACGUGUAGCAGUGAAAUGCGUAGAGAUGUGGAGGAACACCGAUGGCGAAGGCAGCCCCCUGGGCCAAUACUGACGCUCAUGCACGAAGGCGUGGGGAGCAAACAGG